AUGCGAGUCGAGGGAGAGGUUACCUUCGGGUAACCAAAACCGGCGCACGGGUGCGUAACGCGUAUACAAUCUGCCUUUCACAUAGGGAUAGCCCGAAGAAAUUUGGAUUAAUACCUAAUGGUAUAUAAGAGCGACAUCGUUUUUAUAUUAAAGCUACGGUGGUGAAAGAUGAGUAUGCGUUCUAUUAGCUAGUCGGAGAGGUAACGGCUCCCCAAGGCGACGAUAGAUAGGGGUUCUGAGAGGGAUGUCCCCCACACUGGUACUGAGAUACGGACCAGACUCCUACGGGAGGCAGCAGUGAGGAAUAUUGGACAAUGGUCGGAAGACUGAUCCAGCCAUGCCGCGUGCAGGAUGAAGGUCCUAUGGAUUGUAAACUGCUUUUGUAAGGGAAGAAUAAGGAGUACGUGUACUUUGAUGACGGUACCUUACGAAUAAGCAUCGGCUAACUCCGUGCCAGCAGCCGCGGUAAUACGGAGGAUGCGAGCGUUAUCCGGAAUCAUUGGGUUUAAAGGGUCCGUAGGCGGGCUGAUAAGUCAGAGGUGAAAGCGCUUAGCUCAACUAAGCAACUGCCUUUGAAACUGUCAGUCUUGAAUGAUUGUGAAGUAGUUGGAAUGUGUAGUGUAGCGGUGAAAUGCUUAGAUAUUACACAGAACACCGAUAGCGAAGGCAUAUUACUAACAAUUUAUUGACGCUGAUGGACGAAAGCGUGGGGAGCGAACAGGAUUAGAUACCCUGGUAGUCCACGCUGUAAACGAUGGAUACUAGCUGUUUGGAGUAAUCUGAGUGGCUAAGCGAAAGUGAUAAGUAUCCCA
This 812-nucleotide ribosomal RNA is filed under the name uncultured Bacteroidota bacterium. RNAcentral describes it as "bacterial SSU rRNA". It matches the Rfam family "Bacterial small subunit ribosomal RNA", at positions 55 to 871 of the family's 1533-position model. Lineage: Bacteria; Pseudomonadati; Bacteroidota. The record is from RNAcentral.